UGGGGGAUAUUGCACAAUGGGCGCAAGCCUGAUGCAGCGACGCCGCGUGGGGGAUGAAGGCCUUCGGGUUGUAAACUUCUUUUGCACUGAACAAGGCGCACGCUGGGGUGUGUUGAGUGUAGGGGUUGAUUAGCGCCGGCUAACUACGUGCCAGCAGCCGCGGUAAUACGUAGGGCGCGAGCGUUGUCCGGAAUUAUUGGGCGUAAAGGGCUUGUAGGUGGCUGGUUGCGUCUGUCGUGAAAGCUCAUGGCUUAACUGUGGGUUUGCGGUGGGUACGGGCUGGCUUGAGUGCAGUAGGGGAGGCUGGAAUUCCUGGUGUAGCGGUGGAAUGCGCAGAUAUCAGGAAGAAUACCGGUGGCGAAGGCGGGUCUCUUGGCUGUUACUGACUCUGAGGAGCGAAUGCAUGGGGAGCGAACAGG
This 419-nucleotide ribosomal RNA is filed under the name bacterium. RNAcentral's name for it is "partial 16S ribosomal RNA". It matches the Rfam family "Bacterial small subunit ribosomal RNA", at positions 355 to 776 of the family's 1533-position model. The record is from RNAcentral.